ACCCCAGUGGAUCAGGACCCCACAGGUAAGAAUGCAGUGUCCAGAUGGACUGAUGGAUGGCUUCUCUCGCUGGCUUCUGUGAAGCUAUUGCGUUCUUUGCUGAAUGUCAUGAGAGGACUUGGUUCAUCUUCACUGACCACUUGCUACAGCUCGGCCAAACUGAGGAAACAUGGCAAGGCCCCACGGAUGUCGCCAAACCCACAGGCUGUCCCUGCCAGGGAGCAGUGCCUGUCUUUGCAGAGAGCUGCUUGCAGCAUAUGCUUCCUUCUGCCUGAGCUCACACAGAAGCAGAUUGCGCCAGAUUCCCUGCUGGCUAUUCUCCCCGCAGCCUGGAUUUACAAGAUGGUGCAUUAAUAGGCCCCGUGUUUGUCCCAGGCAAGGAGUUCUGUGGUGUCCAUAGGAGCUUUGAAUUAAGGACUCCUGGGUUUU
This 429-nucleotide long non-coding RNA is filed under the name Mus caroli (Ryukyu mouse). Its description in RNAcentral is "lncRNA (MGP_CAROLIEiJ_G0004152.1)". The record is from RNAcentral. Lineage: Eukaryota; Metazoa; Chordata; Mammalia; Rodentia; Muridae.